AGGUGGUUCGUUAAGUUGGAUGCGAAAGCCCCGGGCUCAACCUGGGAUGGUCAUUUAGAACUGGCAGACUAGAGUCUUGGAGAGGGGAGUGGAAUUCCAGGUGUAGCGGUGAAAUGCGUAGAGAUAUGGAGGAACACCAGUGGCGAAGGCGACUUUCUGGUCUGUAACUGACGCUGAUGUGCGAAAGCGUGGGGAUCAAACAGGAUUAGAUACCCUGG
RNAcentral lists this ribosomal RNA (218 nucleotides) under Ditylum brightwellii. Its description in RNAcentral is "partial Bacterial small subunit ribosomal RNA". It matches the Rfam family "Bacterial small subunit ribosomal RNA", at positions 573 to 790 of the family's 1533-position model. The record is from RNAcentral. Lineage: Eukaryota; Bacillariophyta; Thalassiosirophyceae; Lithodesmiales; Lithodesmiaceae.